RNAcentral lists this ribosomal RNA (497 nucleotides) under uncultured bacterium. Its description in RNAcentral is "partial 16S ribosomal RNA". It matches the Rfam family "Bacterial small subunit ribosomal RNA", at positions 28 to 507 of the family's 1533-position model. The record is from RNAcentral.
GAUGAACGCUGGCGGCGUGCCUAAUACAUGCAAGUCGAGCGAACAGACGAGAAGCUUGCUUCUCUGAUGUUAGCGGCGGACGGGUGAGUAACACGUGGAUAACCUACCUAUAAGACUGGGAUAACUUCGGGAAACCGGAGCUAAUACCGGAUAAUAUUUUGAACCGCAUGGUUCAAAAGUGAAAGACGGUCUUGCUGUCACUUAUAGAUGGAUCCGCGCUGCAUUAGCUAGUUGGUAAGGUAACGGCUUACCAAGGCAACGAUGCAUAGCCGACCUGAGAGGGUGAUCGGCCACACUGGAACUGAGACACGGUCCAGACUCCUACGGGAGGCAGCAGUAGGGAAUCUUCCGCAAAGGGCGAAAGCCUGACGGAGCAGCGCCGCGUGAGUGAUGAAGGUCUUCGGAUCGUAAAACUCUGUUAUUAGGGAAGAACAUAUGUGUAAGUAACUGUGCACAUCUUGACGGUACCUAAUCAGAAAGCCACGGCUAACUACGUG